GCAGUCGAACGAACUCUGGUAUUGAUUGGUGCUUGCAUCAUGAUUUACAUUUGAGUGAGUGGCGAACUGGUGAGUAACACGUGGGAAACCUGCCCAGAAGCGGGGGAUAACACCUGGAAACAGAUGCUAAUACCGCAUAACAACUUGGACCGCAUGGUCCGAGUUUGAAAGAUGGCUUCGGCUAUCACUUUUGGAUGGUCCCGCGGCGUAUUAGCUAGAUGGUGAGGUAACGGCUCACCAUGGCAAUGAUACGUAGCCGACCUGAGAGGGUAAUCGGCCACAUUGGGACUGAGACACGGCCCAAACUCCUACGGGAGGCAGCAGUAGGGAAUCUUCCACAAUGGACGAAAGUCUGAUGGAGCAACGCCGCGUGAGUGAAGAAGGGUUUCGGCUCGUAAAACUCUGUUGUUAAAGAAGAACAUAUCUGAGAGUAACUGUUCAGGUAUUGACGGUAUUUAACCAGAAAGCCACGGCUAACUACGUGCCAGCAGCCGCGGUAAUACGUAGGUGGCAAGCGUUGUCCGGAUUUAUUGGGCGUAAAGCGAGCGCAGGCGGUUUUUUAAGUCUGAUGUGAAAGCCUUCGGCUCAACCGAAGAAGUGCAUCGGAAACUGGGAAACUUGAGUGCAGAAGAGGACAGUGGAACUCCAUGUGUAGCGGUGAAAUGCGUAGAUAUAUGGAAGAACACCAGUGGCGAAGGCGGCUGUCUGGUCUGUAACUGACGCUGAGGCUCGAAAGUAUGGGUAGCAAACAGGAUUAGAUACCCUGGUAGUCCAUACCGUAAACGAUGAAUGCUAAGUGUUGGAGGGUUUCCGCCCUUCAGUGCUGCAGCUAACGCAUUAAGCAUUCCGCCUGGGGAGUACGGCCGCAAGGCUGAAACUCAAAGGAAUUGACGGGGGCCCGCACAAGCGGUGGAGCAUGUGGUUUAAUUCGAAGCUACGCGAAGAACCUUACCAGGUCUUGACAUACUAUGCAAAUCUAAGAGAUUAGACGUUCCCUUCGGGGACAUGGAUACAGGUGGUGCAUGGUUGUCGUCAGCUCGUGUCGUGAGAUGUUGGGUUAAGUCCCGCAACGAGCGCAACCCUUAUUAUCAGUUGCCAGCAUUAAGUUGGGCACUCUGGUGAGACUGCCGGUGACAAACCGGAGGAAGGUGGGGAUGACGUCAAAUCAUCAUGCCCCUUAUGACCUGGGCUACACACGUGCUACAAUGGAUGGUACAACGAGUUGCGAACUCGCGAGAGUAAGCUAAUCUCUUAAAGCCAUUCUCAGUUCGGAUUGUAGGCUGCAACUCGCCUACAUGAAGUCGGAAUCGCUAGUAAUCGCGGAUCAGCAUGCCGCGGUGAAUACGUUCCCGGGCCUUGUACACACCGCCCGUCACACCAUGAGAGUUUGUAACACCCAAAGUCGGUGGGGUAACCU
Molecule: ribosomal RNA, 1417 nt
Filed under: Lactiplantibacillus plantarum
Lineage: Bacteria; Bacillati; Bacillota; Bacilli; Lactobacillales; Lactobacillaceae
Also listed under: 2 other names
Description: bacterial SSU rRNA
Rfam family: Bacterial small subunit ribosomal RNA
Source: RNAcentral